UGGGGCUGCGCCCGGAACGCGCCGGGGAGACGCGCAGACCCCGAGACAUGCGAUGAGGCCAACGAUGAGGUCUCCCAAAGGAAAGUGAUUGAAGACAAAGACCCAUUCUGCCAGUGGGAUAUGCUGGGAAUACCAACUAUACUUGUUACUGAGUGUGCAUGGCUGGUGUUGGCCAGCCUUCCUGAUGCCAGCAAGAGGAGACAGAAGUAAUGACCCAAGCUACACUUUCCAUGACACUCAAAUGGCCAGGCUCUUUGACACCCACCGUGAGGGGCUGUUCCAAAGAUGUUGUGUUCCUACCUCAGUUGGUCCCCACAAGCAGCAGGUUCCUCCUCCAGUAUUCUCCAAUAUUUGACCCUUUUUGAGAUGCAUUUCUCAUAGAUGUGUACUUCCAAUCCACAUUUCCUUCCUACCUCUACCUCGGUUUUGUUUGAGAAAUCCAAAUCAUUUAACACUUCUACCUGCUGUUUCUUUGUGACUUCACAUUCACAGUGAAAUUUCAUUUUGUCCUGCAAUUGUGUGGCUUGCCUUAAUCCGCAAAUAGAGCUUCAAAUUGUUUAUUCCUUUGACCUGGAGUUUAGCCAGCUCCAGCUAGGCUCUGAGUUUGGCUUUGUGUCCAUAAGCCACAGUUGGGAGAAAUGCAAGAACUGCCCAAACAGAAUAAAACAAAUGAUCUAUUUAGUCUUGUUUCCUCUCUUGGAAGAAGUCCAGCGUUGAGUGCCUUGGAAUAAAUGAAAAUCCCCCACCCCACCUCCACUGCUCUCCCAUGCACCCAAACAGUAUGACCUUGUGUUUA
This 796-nucleotide long non-coding RNA is filed under the name Homo sapiens (human). RNAcentral's name for it is "non-protein coding lnc-MRPL44-1:1". Lineage: Eukaryota; Metazoa; Chordata; Mammalia; Primates; Hominidae. The record is from RNAcentral.